GAUGAACGCUAGCUACAGGCUUAACACAUGCAAGUCGAGGGGCAGCGGUAUCGAAAGCUUGCUUUCGGUAGCCGGCGACCGGCGCACGGGUGAGUAACGCGUAUCGAACCUGCCUCAUACUCGGGAAUAGCCUUGCGAAAGUAAGAUUAAUGCCCGGUGUUUUCAGAGUCCCGCUUGAGGCUUUGAACAAAGAUUUAUCGGUAUGAAUUGGCGAUGCGUCCCAUUAGCUUGUUGGCGGGGUAACGGCCCACCAAGGCAUCGAUGGGUAGGGGUUCUGAGAGGAAGGUCCCCCACAUUGGAACUGAGACACGGUCCAAACUCCUACGGGAGGCAGCAGUGAGGAAUAUUGGUCAAUGGGCGGAAGCCUGAACCAGCCAAGUAGCGUGCAGGAAGACGGCCCUCCGGGUUGUAAACUGCUUUUAGUUGGGAAUAAAACGGGGCUCGUGAGCCCCCUUGCAUGUACCAUCAGAAAAAGGACCGGCUAAUUCCGUG
Molecule: ribosomal RNA, 492 nt
Filed under: uncultured bacterium
Lineage: Bacteria
Description: partial 16S ribosomal RNA
Rfam family: Bacterial small subunit ribosomal RNA
Source: RNAcentral